UCAGCCACGACAUCACCUGAGGCUACCGUCGGCUUCCACGUGGAUCAGGGCCGCUGGCCUUCCCGAGGGACCCGACCGGCCGGCAGGGGGCAGUACAUAUCAGAGACCGGCUGGCAGGUGGCAUUAGAGGUCAGAGAUCGGCCGGCAGGUGGCAGUACAAGUCAGAGACCGGCCGGCAGGUGGCAGUAGAGGUGAGAGAUCGGCCGCCAGGUGGCAGUAGAAGUCAGGGACCGGCCGGCAGGUGGCAGUACAAGUCAGAGACCGGCCGGCAGGUGGCAGUAGAGGAGUGCGGGGGGCCGGCGGCGGCGUGGCUACCCGGAUGGUGGUGGGGCUGGUUGCACUGGGCCUCUCACUUUCUCCUCCUCUUUUUCUUAGUUGCAUGUUUUUUGAUUUACAUUGUUUGUUGUGGAUGCGGCGCUGGAGGGAGGGAGGGCCAUGUCCUAGAGUUUGUCCCCCCCCUUUUCCCUUCUUAGCCCGCUGCAGCCUACGGCCCCAAUAGAAUCAAAUUUUCUUUUUAUUCUUUGACGACAUUCCCAGAGCUGACGGGAAUUAUUGAAAUGAAUUGUUUCGUACCUGUUGAUAUUUUAAGAAACUCAAAUAAAUAUUGUGCUCUGGGGGAAUAUUGUUGCUUUGGUCUGUUUACACUGGUGGUCUGUGGGUCCGUGGUGGAUUAAUAUCCCUACGGGACGAUAACCGUACCUACCGGCGGUUACACAUUCAAGCAGAUCGAGUACAGACGUAUGCCGAGUUAUCCUGUUUUUGAGGGGCGGGAUGAGGCUCGACCCUUGUGUUUG
Gasterosteus aculeatus aculeatus (three-spined stickleback) is the source of this 794-nucleotide long non-coding RNA. The record is from Ensembl. Lineage: Eukaryota; Metazoa; Chordata; Actinopteri; Perciformes; Gasterosteidae.